UUUUUGGUGGACAUAGAUUUUCAACUCAUUUGGACAAACAAAGCAGCAUGAUUGUUGGAAUAUAAGAAAUACAACUCACAAAAUGGCGGCACUCUGCAGGGCUGGGCCCCCGGAAUUAAUUCCCCAGCUCACCCAACGGAGCUUCAAGAAAUUCAAUUACAAUUUAAGUUUUCCCACCUUGGUACUGGCUCCCGUGGACAUAUUCAGGAAGGAGACCUGCUUGCCAAUGAGAACCCAGAAAUCAGUCUCCAUCUGUCCCCGAGCUGUUGUGCAAUGAGAGGUUCAGACCCCUUGCUCUGGUUGGCCUGAAAGCUGUGUUCAAGUAUUUUUCUUGAGAACAGGACUUUUCUCACUCUCAUAUGUAGUUUGAGAUCCUGGGUCUGGGGGACACCUGGAAUCAAGCAGCCUUUCCACUAGUUCUUCACUUGGAUGGGAGCACUCUCCCUAGGUGUCUGCAUGGCCAGCUCCCCUACAUCCUUUUUCCUCUAAGCCUUUACUGAAAUUUCACCUUCUCAAUAGGCUACGCCAUUGCAACCCACCCCAUGCCCACCCCUCAGCAUUCUCAACCUCCUUUGCUCUAUUUUUCAUAGUUCUUAUCACUUUCUUUUUGUCUUUGUUUUUUCUGCAGUUUCAAUAUGAUAACGCCUAGUUAUAGC
This 656-nucleotide long non-coding RNA is filed under the name Heterocephalus glaber (naked mole-rat). RNAcentral describes it as "lncRNA (ENSHGLG00000045846.1)". Lineage: Eukaryota; Metazoa; Chordata; Mammalia; Rodentia; Bathyergidae. The record is from RNAcentral.